AGCGAACGCUGGCGGCAGGCUUAACACAUGCAAGUCGAGCGGGCAUCCUUGUGGUGUCAGCGGCAGACGGGUGAGUAACGCGUGGGAACGUGCCCUUCGGUUCGGAAUAACUCAGGGAAACUUGAGCUAAUACCGGAUACGUGCGAGAGCAGAAAGGUUUAUCUGCCGAAGGAUCGGCCCGCGUCUGAUUAGCUAGUUGGUGAGGUUACGGCUCACCAAGGCGACGAUCAGUAGCUGGUCUGAGAGGAUGAUCAGCCACACUGGGACUGAGACACGGCCCAGACUCCUACGGGAGGCAGCAGUGGGGAAUAUUGGACAAUGGGGGCAACCCUGACCCAGCCAUGCCGCGUGAGUGAUGACGGCCUUAGGGUUGUAAAGCUCUUUUCUCCGGGACGAUAAUGACGGUACCGGAGGAAUAAGCCCCGGCUAACUUCGUG
This 437-nucleotide ribosomal RNA is filed under the name uncultured bacterium. RNAcentral describes it as "partial 16S ribosomal RNA". It matches the Rfam family "Bacterial small subunit ribosomal RNA", at positions 29 to 507 of the family's 1533-position model. The record is from RNAcentral.